UACGGAGGGUGCAAGCGUUGUCCAGAUUUAUUGGGUUUAAAGGGUGCGUAGGCGGCCCGUUAAGUCAGUGGUGAAAGCCUCCAGCUCAACUGGAGAACUGCCAUUGAUACUGACGGGCUUGAGUACAGACGAGGUUGGCGGAAUUGAUUGUGUAGCGGUGAAAUGCAUAGAUACAAUCAAGAACUCCGAUUGCGUAGGCAGCUAACUAGGCUGUAACUGACGCUGAGGCACGAAAGCGUGGGGAGCGAACAGG
RNAcentral lists this ribosomal RNA (253 nucleotides) under uncultured bacterium. RNAcentral describes it as "partial 16S ribosomal RNA". It matches the Rfam family "Bacterial small subunit ribosomal RNA", at positions 524 to 776 of the family's 1533-position model. The record is from RNAcentral.